AGUGCACCAGUAUGCGCAUAACGCGCAGCAGACAGCUCGCUUUUGUUGGGGGAACUUGAAGCGCAGAAGCCAACUCCGGAAGGGUAAUAGGUUUGUCAUGUUUAUGAAUUAUGUCAGGAAUUCCUAGCUGAACAGCACAUUUUAGAGACAUGGAUUCUAAAUAGUGGUACAUGUGUUUAUAAAUAUGACACUGAGCUUGAAACAACUCAUUCGCUCCAAGCUCUUGAUCUAACUCCAUCUCAAGUUUCCCAAUUUCCA
RNAcentral lists this unclassified non-coding RNA (258 nucleotides) under Hevea brasiliensis (rubber tree). The record is from RNAcentral. Lineage: Eukaryota; Viridiplantae; Streptophyta; Magnoliopsida; Malpighiales; Euphorbiaceae.